This is a non-coding RNA of Phellopilus nigrolimitatus, 95 nucleotides long. The record is from the annotation of a GenBank genome assembly. NCBI's taxonomy places the organism in Eukaryota, Fungi, Basidiomycota, Agaricomycetes, Hymenochaetales, Hymenochaetaceae.
GGGCAUAUGGUGUAGUUGGUUUAUCACGCUCGCUUAGCAUUACAUUUCAAACAUUCAUAUGCGAGAGGUGUCCGGUUCAAUUCCGGAUAUGUCCA